This 29-nucleotide non-coding RNA is filed under the name Rattus norvegicus (Norway rat). Lineage: Eukaryota; Metazoa; Chordata; Mammalia; Rodentia; Muridae. The record is from RNAcentral.
UGGCUUUUGAUCUUUGAAUUUUCUGCCUC